AGAGAGAGAUAGGAAAAGGCGACUGCCGAUUUCCCCUGGGUGGGUCAGCCCAGGGGUGCCGUCUACGUGAAGCCGGGGCCAAAGGGGUGUGUUGCCUCUGCCGGGGGGCCUUAAAGGUCCAAACACCCGGCGUCGGCUCAACCCCCAGGAUCCCCUUUUCCCCGGACACGGCAAAGCCACGCACGGCUAGGCGUGGGAGGGGGUCGAAACCCCCCCGUUAGCUCGGGUCCGUGGUGUCGCUACACACCAAACGCCUACUUGCGCAGACGCCCCUGCGGGGGC
Molecule: long non-coding RNA, 282 nt
Organism: Rhipicephalus sanguineus (brown dog tick)
Lineage: Eukaryota; Metazoa; Arthropoda; Arachnida; Ixodida; Ixodidae
Exons: 2
Source: RefSeq, a predicted model, not a curated record